UAAAAAAUCACAUUCAACAUUUUUGUGUUCAUGUCUUCUUUUCUGUUUCUUGAUUACUAGAAUGCCUCAUUCGUGAAACAGUUCGUACCGGUGCUCCCACCUGAUGGACAAAUGCAGGACUUCACUUGAACUGUUCUUUGCAAUCUGGUUUGUGAUGGGGAACGUUUGGAUCUUUGACUCACGAUUAGGAUCCAUCAACCGAGCUCCUAAGCUGAAUGUGCUAUGUGUCUCCCUUCUCACCUGGAAUGCAAUCUGCUAUUCGUUCCCAUUCCUAUUGUUUCUUCUUCUGUGUUGUUGUGUCCCUCUCAUCAGUAGCUUUCUCGGUUACAACAUGAAUAUGGGCUCAGCAGACAAAGCUGCAUCAGAUGAUCAAAUCUCCAGCCUUCCACGUUGGCAGUACAAAGCAGUCGGCACAUCCAAUAUACUGGACGAUGGUGAUGAUCAAGAAUCAAGUUUGACCCCUGCAAGCGAAGUAAGUAAUCCACAAACCAAUAAUGAAUUUGCCGCUGUAACCUGGUGGUUGACAUGUUGGUUGUUUUAAUGGUGAUGAAUAGGAAUGUUGCAUUUGUCUAUCCAAAUACAAAGAAAAAGAGGAAGUAAGAGAGCUACCAUGUUUACAUACAUUCCACCUCAAAUGUGUGGAUCAAUGGCUUAGAAUCAUAUCAUGUUGCCCUCUCUGCAAACAAGAACUGAAGAGAUAGAUUGAAGUUGAAGAUGUGGUUGCUGCCUGGCAUUUGCGUUUCUCUUCUUUGUUUGGUAUUAAUUCCGUAGAGGAGUGGGGAAAUGGGUUAUUAGCGUGAGGAAAGGUAGGUAGGUAGGUAGGUAGGUAGGCUGUUUGCUUCUGUAUAGGAGCUCGCUCAGCAAUAGCCAUUUCUAGCCACAUCACUCAAGGGGAUCUUUCUUCUCCUCUGUCUGUCCUUUUGGUUUUUAUUUGUUUUGGGUUUUGUUAAAAAUCUGAAAGAGAAGAUUUCUUUUCUUUUUCCACAGUACAAAUAAAUCAUGGUGAAAAUUACUUACAUGAAGAUUCGAAACCCUUGCCUUGCUUGUAAAUGCUUAUUAUCCAUUUUUUUAGCUUAUUUCAUUAUAUAUAAAAAGAAUGAUCCAAUUAUAUGGUCUUCAUUUGUUUUCUGUAUCACAAUUUCAAUUCCAG
This 1150-nucleotide long non-coding RNA is filed under the name Linum usitatissimum (flax). RNAcentral's name for it is "long non-coding RNA (LUSI_LNC006441)". The record is from RNAcentral. Lineage: Eukaryota; Viridiplantae; Streptophyta; Magnoliopsida; Malpighiales; Linaceae.